Molecule: ribosomal RNA, 495 nt
Filed under: uncultured bacterium
Lineage: Bacteria
Description: SSU rRNA
Rfam family: Bacterial small subunit ribosomal RNA
Source: RNAcentral
AGGACGAACGCUGGCGGCGUGCCUAACACAUGCAAGUGGAGCGACGACCCGGGCUUCGGCCCGGUGCAAAGCCGCGAACGGGUGAGUAACACGUGGGUAACCUGCCCUGAUGAUUGGGACAACCCGAGGAAACUCGGGCUAAUACCGAAUGUGCCCUCCGGCCAUAAGGCCGCUGGGGAAAGGAAGCUUCGGCCUCCGCAUCGGGAUGGGCCCGCGGCCCAUUAGCUUGUUGGUGAGGUAACGGCUCACCAAGGCAACGAUGGGUAGCUGGUCUGAGAGGACGAUCAGCCACACUGGGACUGAGACACGGUCCAGACACCUACGGGUGGCAGCAGUCGAGAAUUUUUCACAAUGGACGAAGUCUGAUGGAGCGACGCCGCGUGGAGGAUGAAGGUUCUUGGAUUGUAAACUCCUGUCACUGCAGAACAAGGAUACGUUUGUGAAUAGCACGCGUAUUUGAUGGUAUGCGGAGAGGAAGGGACGGCUAACUCUGUG